CUACGGGAGGCAGCAGUGGGGAAUCUUGGACAAUGGGCGCAAGCCUGAUCCAGCCAUGCCGCGUGAGUGAAGAAGGCCUUAGGGUUGUAGAGCUCUUUUACCAGGGACGAUAAUGACGGUACCCGCAGAAGAAGCCCCGGCAAACUUCGUGCCAGCAGCCGCGGUAAUACGAAGGGGGCUAGCGUUGUUCGGAAUCACUGGGCGUAAAGCGUAUGUAGGCGGAUCGUUAAGUCGGGGGUGAAAGCCCGAGGCUCAACCUCGGAACUGCCUUCGAUACUGGCGAUCUUGAGUCCGGGAGAGGUGAGUGGAACUGCGAGUGUAGAGGUGAAAUUCGUAGAUAUUCGCAAGAACACCAGUGGCGAAGGCGGCUCACUGGCCCGGUACUGACGCUGAGAUACGAAAGCGUGGGGAGCAAACAGGAUUAGAAACCCCGGUAGUCC
Molecule: ribosomal RNA, 440 nt
Filed under: uncultured bacterium
Lineage: Bacteria
Description: bacterial SSU rRNA
Rfam family: Bacterial small subunit ribosomal RNA
Source: RNAcentral